GCCGGUGUAGCUCAACUGGUAGAGCAACUGACUUGUAAUCAGUAGGUUGGGGGUUCAAGUCCUCUCGCCGGCA
Molecule: transfer RNA, 73 nt
Organism: Paenibacillus sp. FSL H7-0737
Lineage: Bacteria; Bacillati; Bacillota; Bacilli; Caryophanales; Paenibacillaceae
Rfam family: tRNA
About the family: Transfer RNA (tRNA) molecules are approximately 80 nucleotides in length. Their secondary structure includes four short double-helical elements and three loops (D, anti-codon, and T loops).
Source: Rfam